UUAAAGUUUCCUCUGUGAAAAUCAAGGUUUGGGAGUUUCCUCCGGCAGUGGCCUAAAUAUCUCCGUUUGGGGCAUUGGAGGGUAUGGAAUACCGAAUCUACACACCUCUUUUCCACUUUUAUUGGCUGCCUUAAGACAUGACCUUUUAGUGUGAUUAUGCUUUUGGUAUUCAACAUAUGGAGAUAAUUCUGAGUCUGUAAAAUCUACUGUAGUGUGUUUAUUAAUGAAGGCUACAACUGUUGAAAUUGACUCAGUGCUAUUUAAGUCCACUGCUGGGGCAUCUUUCAGCCAAAACAUGCCGUGUAUGUGGGGAGAACCUCUUUGUUGAAAUUCAACACGCCAAUAGAUUUUGAUGACAAAGUUUUCUCCGAAAAUGCCCUCUGGACUCUUCAUCACUUUCAAAAUCUCUCGAUACCUAUAAUCAAAAUACCUAGCGCAAGUAACAGGAUCUGCCCUAAUAAGACGAGCUUUUUCGUAAUGUACUAAACCUAUUGCAUCUUCUUCGCUAAUUGUCUGCCUAUCUACAGUUCUCUCGAGCAAAAC
RNAcentral lists this long non-coding RNA (543 nucleotides) under Drosophila guanche. The record is from RNAcentral. Lineage: Eukaryota; Metazoa; Arthropoda; Insecta; Diptera; Drosophilidae.